GCUUCUCGGUCUUUUGGCUAAGAUCAAGUGUAAUACUGCUUUGUCAAU
RNAcentral lists this small nuclear RNA (48 nucleotides) under Cervus elaphus hippelaphus. Lineage: Eukaryota; Metazoa; Chordata; Mammalia; Artiodactyla; Cervidae. The record is from RNAcentral.